RNAcentral lists this long non-coding RNA (293 nucleotides) under Homo sapiens (human). RNAcentral's name for it is "HSALNT0240347". The record is from RNAcentral. Lineage: Eukaryota; Metazoa; Chordata; Mammalia; Primates; Hominidae.
GUCACAGGAUGACGCAGGGAGGACGGCUGUUGGUGAUCUUUUCUAGGGUUUCUCCAUUACUGGCUCUUCGGAUGGCCUCAAUGAGCUAGAAAAUACUCACAUCUUUCUCAUAGGGAAAGCCCCCAUUCUCCAGCUUGGAGAACACCAGCUGUCCAUUUAUCUCUAUCUCAAAGGCACCUGGUAAGAAAUCACUGACCCAGCAGGUGUUCUGCGAGCCUCACCUGUGCCCCCGAGGCGCGACUCGAUCUCGAUGCCCGGAUACUGCUCCUUCACAGCACUGGCCAGCUCCAGGU